Molecule: ribosomal RNA, 229 nt
Filed under: uncultured bacterium
Lineage: Bacteria
Description: partial 16S ribosomal RNA
Rfam family: Bacterial small subunit ribosomal RNA
Source: RNAcentral
CGCGUAGGCGGCCUGGUAAGUCAGAUGUGAAAGCCCGGGGCUUAACCCCGGAAGGGCAUUUGAUACUGUCAGGCUUGAGUAUGGGAGAGGGAAGUGGAAUUCCUGGUGUAGAGGUGAAAUUCGUAGAUAUCAGGAGGAACACCGGUGGCGAAGGCGACUUCCUGGACCAAUACUGACGCUGAGGCGCGAAGGCGUGGGGAGCAAACAGGAUUAGAUACCCUGGUAGUCC